Rosa chinensis is the source of this 3609-nucleotide long non-coding RNA. RefSeq lists it as uncharacterized. The record is from RefSeq and is a predicted model, not a curated record. The transcript is spliced from 2 exons. NCBI's taxonomy places the organism in Eukaryota, Viridiplantae, Streptophyta, Magnoliopsida, Rosales, Rosaceae.
ACGUAGCCUUGGCCCAAGUGCAAGGUGAACCACUAUACAUCUGGUGUCAUAUCUCUCUCUCUCCCCAUCAUGCUUCUUAGUUACCGUAUUCUUCAAUAGAAACAGACAUCAUCCCACGACACAAACCUGGUCAGGCUAAACCGCUAGACAAUGGCAAAUAUUGUACAUACCUUGAGGAAGCCGGCCACCCUACCAAUAUUUGUUGGGCACUAAAAAAUGCUAUUGAGCACCUCAUUCAAAGCGGCCAGCUCUCACAAUAUCAUACUCCCGCAACAGGAACCAAUGCCAUUGAAGUCUACGGACAGAUUCUAACUAUACAUGGAGGGGCCCCAAGAGCACCCGAGACUCUUCACGCACAAAAGCGGCAAUGCCCUAGGUGCUAAGAGGUGUUGGGACUCAGUCAUGGCUGCCACACCCCCAGGUGGAGUGGGACUCGAUAGCUUUUAAUCGCAAUGAGGACACCAUAAGGAAGCAUCAUAAUGACCCCUUCUUGAUCACCAUGGUUAUCAACCACUAUCGAUGCCAUUGGUUCCUAGUCGAUAGCGGCGCAGUGGUCAGUGUCAUGUUUGGCAGUUGCUUUGAAGGUCUGAACCAAGACAAGAAGAAACUCACCCAAGACUACGAGCCCUAAUCAGCUUUGCAGGAGAAAUCACACAGCCCUUGGGAUCUAACAAUUUGUUGACCACACUGGGUGGAGGCAGCACUAUCGCCACUAUGACAACGCAGUUGAUGACAACGCACUUCAUCGUUGUCGACUGUCCCUCCUCCUAUAACGUCAUCUUAGGACGAGACUCCAUUUGGGGACUUCAAUGCUUUGUCACAGGGCACAUGUUAAUGAUGAAAGAUACUUACCCCCGGGGGCAUCCUCACCAUUUGAGGAGAUCAGAAGCUAGCGAGAUAGUGCAACUCCUUGACUGUCGCGAGGGGACAUGGCAGGCGAGAGGUACUCUUAACCACGAACCUGCCCUCCCCAUCUGACAAGCCCGACAAUCCAAGGGAAGAUCCCGAGACCCCAGAUGCCUGCGAUACAAGCAGCAAAAAGAAGGAAGAUAAGCGCAAACUCAAGCCCUCGAGACCAGAUGCUUUGGAAGACCUGAUAUCGGUCUCAAUAUCCGAUACACACCCAGAAAGAAAGGUCAAGAUCGGUUCCAAGACAAACCCACACUUCCAAGCAGAAUUAAUCGCCUUCCUCAAGACUAGACAUGAGGUGUUAGCAUGGUCAGACACCUAUAUGCCAGGGUUUAUGACAAAGUAAUUUAAUAGAUAGAGAGUUAGAGAGAGAAAGAGAGACUCAUUUUUAAAUAGAUGACAAAGGAUAAAAUAUGUCUCUAUGGAGCAAGUGGUGUUUUGGCUUAUAAAGGAGUUGCUAACUGGUAUAAUUAUACAAAUCAUAAAAGGUUAGAAUGAUAAUAGAGGGGUUACAACCAAAUCGCCAUGGAAUCCUCCGAUCAAGAACACACCUCCUUCACUACCGACAAGGGCUUAUAUUGUUAAAAGGUAAUGCGAUUUGGCCUAAAAAACGCUGGAGCCACGUACCAAAGACUAGUUAACGCUAUGUUCGCAGACCAUAUCGGAAAAAUAAUGGAGGUAUAUGUAGAUGAUAUGUUUGUCAAGAGUGUCACCAUUGAGGACCAUAUCAAAAACCUGGGCAUCGUCUUCGACAUCUUACUCCAGUACGGUAUGCGACUCAACCCAGACAAGUGCGUGUUCGGCGUGCUUGGAGGAAAAUUCCAGGACUUUGUAGUCAGCGAGAGAGGCAUUGAAGCAAAUCCAGAGAAAGUACAGGCCAUUCUCGAUAUGGCACCGCCAAAGACAAGGAACGAAGUACAAUCCCUUACAGGGAAUGUCGUCGCUCUUGCCUGGUUCAUAUCGCGCUUAACCGACAAAUGCGCUCCUUCUUCAAGCUCCUUAAAACUCACCACACCGAGAAAAUCAAUUGGGGACCCGAGCAUGACAAAGCUUUUCAAGGCAUCCUAGACUACAUGGCAUCAGUGCCCACUCUUUCCAAACCCGUCCCAGGAGAAGUCUUGUACAUCUAUCACUACUAGCAAAAUAACAAUACACACGGAUUUACUGUAUCUAAAAAGCACAAAUAUCUGUGUGAAACAUAAAUACUAACAGAUAACCGUGUGAAAUGAUCAUAAUUGGGCCCACAAUAAUUUAAAAAAUAACAAUAUCAACGGAAAUCUGUGUGAGUUAACACCACUAACAGAUGUCUGUGUGUAAACAAAAAUAUUUUCACAUGGUUAUCUGUGUGAAUAUCAAUUCACACUGAUUUCUGUACAUAUUACAAAUUAGUUUAUUUAGAAAUCGUUAAUUUUUUAUGAUAUGUGAAUUAUGGAGGGACGGAUUUCUGUUACAAUAACUUUUUGGUACAGAUUUCUGUGUAAGAUGAGUAAUACACGAAUAUCUGUGUGAAAUUAAGACAUGGAUAUCCAUGUGAAAAGAAAAAUCAGCUACAGAAUUCUGUGUGAAAAGAGGAACUAGAUACAAAUUCUGUGUAAUUGAUCAAAUGACAAUUAACAUGACAGCUAGCUAUUGAGUUACUGAGAUAAAUACACACGGACAUCUGUAACAAAUGUAAAUGUAUUUCACACGGAUUUCCGUGACUAUUCUACUUAAUGUUACAGACAUCCGUGUAAAAAGAAGCUACAUACGAAAUUCUGUAUAAAAAAUUCAAAAUUGAUGCGAUGUUCUUUCAGGUAGCUAUCUACACACAGAUAUUUGUGAGAAUUUUGAAUGUAUCUCACACGGAUUUCAAUGUGAGAUACAUUGGUUAUACGUCCCCCGCCGCGCUCUCAAUCUCAUCAAAUCCUUUAUUUUUUUUUUUUAACCGAUAAGGGAUUAUGCGAUAUUAGUUCCUCAGAGAUGGACGAUGUAGGGAACAAUCUCAUCAAAUCCUUCAUCUUCUACUCUCUCCUAUCCAUUCCCAAUCCUAUACUUACACUUAUCCCCUCAGAGACCCAAGUCCAAAAUCCUAAACUUGGAAAUUUAUUUUUCAAUUUUAGGAUUUUCUUCACCCAUCACCUUGCAUGAUUUUCUUCCUCUCAUUGAUAUCUUCGAACCCAGAUUCAAUCUCAGAUAUAAGAAAAAGUAUAUCGAUUCCAGUUGUUUGUGGUGGAUUGCUUUAGAUGUGUUCAUUGUGAAAAGGUUCGUGAAAUCUGGAUUUCUUUUCUUUCGGAUGUUGAUUUUAUGGUUAGUUAAUUUCAUUCAAUAAUAUUCUUGUUUCUUUCUACUUGGUUUUGCAGCUCAUUUAAUUUCAUUCAAGUUUACUGUCUUUAUAAUUUUUUCAUAUCUUUGGUUCAUGGAUCCUUCUGGUAAUGCUUUUGCAGAUCCAUGAAUUUCAUUCAAAAUCCUUAUGGCUGCGUUCGUGGCAAGCAUGGUCUGGGCUUACAGCACAUUUACUAGAGGGUUAACUUUUACAAUUGGGUUUAGAUGUAAUUAGUAAUUACUGGGAGGCUAGAAGUAGUUUUAUCUCAUGGUAAUUGGGUACUUGAAGUGGUUGUUGAUUCUGAAUUUCUGACUAGUCAUCUUUCAUUGUCUAUAAGAAUCUGAUCUAUUAUGUAGUUCAUGACCUGUGGGUUGGCUAUGUGAUUCGGAUUUCCUGAA